CUACUAUGCCAACUCCUACAGCUUUUGGCUGGCAACUGUAGAUGUGUCAGACAUGUUCAGUAAACCUCAGUCAGAAACGCUGAAAGCAGGAGACUUGAGGACACGAAUUAGCCGAUGUCAAGUGUGCAUGAAGAGGACAUAACAUUUUGAAGAAUUCCUUUUGUGUUUUAAAAUGUGAUAUAUAUAUAUAUAAAAUUCCUAGGAUGCAGUGUCUCAUUGUCCCCAACUUUACUACUGCUGCCGUCAAUGGUGCUACUAUAUAUGAUCAAGAUAACAUGCUGACUAGUAACCAUGAAGAUUCAGAUGUACCUCAGCAAUGCGCCAGAGCAAAGUCUCUAUUAUUUUUCUACUAAAGAAAUAAGGAAGUGAAUUUACUUUUUGGGUCCAGAAUGACUUUCUCCAAGAAUUAUAAGAUGAAAAUUAUAUAUUUUGCCCAGUUACUAAAAUGGUACAUUAAAAAUUCAAUUAAGAGAAGAGUCACAUUGAGUAAAAUAAAAGACUGCAGUUUGUGGGAAGAAUUAUUUUUCACGGUGCUACUAAUCCUGCUGUAUCCCGGGUUUUUAAUAUAAAGGUGUUAAGCUUAUUUUGCUUUGUAAGUAAAGAAUGUGUAUAUUGUGAACAGCCUUUUAGCUCAAAAUGUUGAGUCAUUUACAUAUGACAUAGCAUGAAUCACUCUUUACAGAAAAUGUAGGAAACCCUAGAAUACAGACAGCAAUAUUUUAUAUUCAUGUUUAUCAAAGUGAGAGGACUUAUAUUCCUACAUCAAGUUACUACUGAGAGUAAAUUUAUUUUGAGUUUUAUCCCGUAAGUUCUGUUUUGAUUUUUUUUAAAAAACAAACCCUUUUAGUCACUUUAAUCAGAAUUUUAAAUGUUCAUGUUACAUACCAAAUUAUAAUAUCUAAUGGAGCAAUUUGUCUUUUGCUAUAUUCUCCAAGAUUAUCUCUUAAGACCAUAUGCCCCCUGUUUUAAUGUUUCUUACAUCUUGUUUUUACUCAUUUCUGACUGGACAAAGUUCUUCCAAACAAUUCUGAGAAACAAAAACACACACGCAGAAUUAACAAUUCUUUUCCCUGUGCUUCUUAUGUAAGAAUCCUCCUGUGGCCUCUGCUUGUACAGAACUGGGAAACAACACUUGGUUAGUCUCUUUUAAGUUACAAAAAGCCAAUUGAUGUUUCUUAUUCUUUUUAAAUUUUAAAUAUUUUGUUAUAAAUACUCACAGGAUACCUUAUUUCCCUAGCUAUCAUCUCCUGACUUAAUGUUUUUUAAACCCACCAAUAUAAAUUUAAUUAAAGAUAUAUGUUGUAAGGAU
RNAcentral lists this long non-coding RNA (1309 nucleotides) under Homo sapiens (human). Its description in RNAcentral is "HSALNT0285275". Lineage: Eukaryota; Metazoa; Chordata; Mammalia; Primates; Hominidae. The record is from RNAcentral.